Molecule: long non-coding RNA, 2271 nt
Organism: Rhipicephalus microplus (southern cattle tick)
Lineage: Eukaryota; Metazoa; Arthropoda; Arachnida; Ixodida; Ixodidae
Source: RefSeq, a predicted model, not a curated record
UUCGUGGUCCAUCGCGAUGAGCAGAACGGGAGCAGCAGCAAAGAUGGGCGGAAUCGGCAGUCAUUUGAAAGCUGACGCCUUAUCUCUGGCCUGACGCGUUCUGACGUUUUACGACAGACUGCAUUGUUUCUCUCGACCUGCGAGUGUUCACGCAGUGUGCCUGCAGUGAGCGACACGGCCUACGGAUGUUGUUUGCCUCGAGCUUCGCGGGGAUCGGAAGAUUUUAUGAGUGCGUGCCGACUACAACGCGCGAGUGUGCAGUCGGCUUUCAAGAGAACAAAGCUCCUUAAUAGAACAGCCCGCCGCAUGGUGCAGGAAAUCUGAGCGUGGUCUGUUGUGACUGCAGUGACGAAGUAAUCGCGCGUUGUGGUCUGGUAGAGCUUUUGUUCCGCGCGCUCUCUUGUAUUGCUCGCGUCGGACGCGCUGCGUUGCGUUGGAACUUGUUUAUUCCGCGACUGACGUACUUUACGAGUCCGGAUCUUAUUCCCUUUUGUGAUGCAAAUCAAACGCGGUCGUCGGGUGUGCACGCUUACUGUGAUGCGGCAGCAUGAUGCCUCAAUCAUUCCACUGACCAGCAGAUGGAAGAGAGUUUAAAACGAGCAAUGCAAUUAAUGUCUAAGAAGCUUAGGUUUUAUUGUCUGUAUGGACAAUGCACUGACUGCUGUUUCUUCUGUGACUUCAAAAGAGUGGACUGUUGGGCGAGUUGAUGCUUUGACAUAAAAACAAUUGUGAGGGCGCAACCAAACACAAGACAGGCGAGGACACGCCCCUGUCCUCGUCUGUCUCUUCCUGUGUGUUGUGUUUAGUUGCAGCCCUCACGGUGGUUUCGGUGUCCUUCUGGGACCUCGCUAUUCAUACUUGCCAAGGCACCGAAAUUAGCAAUUUAGCCAGUCUGUCAGCAGCUAAUAAUUGCGAUAGGGUAAAAAAUUUAAGUACACUUAGGAAAAUUUGCAUGAAGAACCUUGACACACAAUACUGCCACAAUGCAGUCUACCCAGGACGUUUUAGUUGUUGCAUUCUUUACAGCUCUCUCACAAGCGAUACCUGGACUGUACAGAAGAACGCUCAUGUUGAAAUUGUUUGACAGUUCAGGUGCAUCGCGGCGCACAUCUUUUGUCAUACUCGCAAUAUCAAUUAGUGAUAUUUUGUUGGCGCGUCACUGUCAAGAGCUGUGCAGCUUCGUGAUACCUCAUGUCGCAUGCAUUCUUGGCCCUUCCUCUGAUGUACACAUUUCAAUAUGUUUAUACAGCUCUACAGCGAGGAAAGUGCCAGCUGGAAAAGCAGAAGAGCAAUAUGCGAUAUUAUGACAGAGAGAUGCAGUUAGGCACAAAUUGUGUUUCUUCUCUGCCUGUUCGAUGUUUUGUUCCGUGCUGCACAGUCAAUUAUUAUUCUUACAGGUCCACCUGCAGUGAUCACUGUUCUUUUUUAUUUAGGUGAAUGCUAUUGCUAUAUACAGAGAAAACACAUGUCAAAGCACACCGCAUAGACUUUGAAUACUGUUUCUAAUAAUGAUUUGCCAGAUUUAAGAAUAGUAUGUUGUGCCCUGACCCAUUUGUUUCCAUUAAUUAACAUUUAUUUCUGUUAUUGCAGAAAUUUUAUUUUUACUGUUACAGCCCUCAUUGCAGCUGUAUUUUGUCACAGCUAGUUUUGUGGACAAUCAUUUUUUCAAGACUAAUGCAACCAAUGUUUAUUGAGAACACUGUAUGUAAAAAGCAGUGAAUAUUUGCUGAUGAGGCGCUUGGGCACAAGACAUUUUGUUGUCACUCGGACUCCAUUGGGAUCACUCAGAAAAGUGCAAUCCUCUACACUGUGGUUCUACCUUCUGUUUUCCUUUCUGUUUCCACCAUUUCGCUUACUGUCAUGGCUCUCUUUUUCGCCAUGUUUAGUUUGGAGACUGUGCCAAACUUAGCCUGAAUUGGUGCUCUUGACAGUAACUAAUGGCUGAUUAAAUAAUUAUCGAAGAAGGAUGGGCAAGCAUUUGUAUAAAAUUCAAGGUUCUCUACCUGUUUGUAUGGGUCGAGGAAUAUCUGAACAAAAAAAAAAAAUCGUACACAUCUCCCCGUAAAGGGAACCUUCAGUAGUAUGAAAAGUAGCCAUGGGUUGACACAAGCUUCUUGCUUUUUAUUCAUCACCAUAGACUUUUAUGGUUCUGCACACAGUUGCUUUGUGAGCCCUCGCCUUUGCCACGCUCGUGCUCAUGUGUUCAGUCAUGCUAUUACACUGUGUGCGUGAGAGAGAAAGGAGUAAGCGUUUUUAUUAUAUAGAGCAGUG